AACGAACGCUGGCGGCAGGCCUAACACAUGCAAGUCGAACGCCCUAGCAAUAGGGAGUGGCGCACGGGUGAGUAACGCGUGGGAACGUGCCUUUCAGUCUGGAAUAACUGCGGGAAACUGCAGCUAAUACCGGAUAUUCUCUACGGAGGAAAGAUUUAUCGCUGAAAGAUCGGCCCGCGUUAGAUUAGGUAGUUGGUGGGGUAAUGGCCUACCAAGCCUACGAUCUAUAGCUGGUCUGAGAGGAUGAUCAGCCACACUGGAACUGAGACACGGUCCAGACUCCUACGGGAGGCAGCAGUGGGGAAUAUUGGACAAUGGGCGCAAGCCUGAUCCAGCCAUGCCGCGUGAGUGACGAAGGCCUUAGGGUUGUAAAGCUCUUUUGUCAGGGAAGAUAAUGACGGUACCUGAAGAAUAAGACACGGCUAACUUCGUGCCAGCCGCCGCCGUAA
This 449-nucleotide ribosomal RNA is filed under the name uncultured bacterium. Its description in RNAcentral is "partial 16S ribosomal RNA". It matches the Rfam family "Bacterial small subunit ribosomal RNA", at positions 29 to 523 of the family's 1533-position model. The record is from RNAcentral.